RNAcentral lists this transfer RNA (63 nucleotides) under Microtus cabrerae (Cabrera's vole). RNAcentral's name for it is "tRNA-Lys". The record is from RNAcentral. Lineage: Eukaryota; Metazoa; Chordata; Mammalia; Rodentia; Cricetidae.
CAUUACGAAGCUUAGAGCGUUAACCUUUUAAGUUAAAGUCAGAGAUGUUAGUCUCCGUAGUGA